UUAAGUUAUUAAGGGCGCACGGUGGAUGCCUUGGCACUAGAAGCCGAUGAAGGACGUUACUAACGACGAUAUGCUUUGGGGAGCUGUAAGUAAGCUUUGAUCCAGAGAUUUCCGAAUGGGGAAACCCAGCAUGAGUUAUGUCAUGUUAUCGAUAUGUGAAUACAUAGCAUAUCAGAAGGCACACCCGGAGAACUGAAACAUCUUAGUACCCGGAGGAAGAGAAAGAAAAUUCGAUUCCCUUAGUAGCGGCGAGCGAAACGGGAAGAGCCCAAACCAAAAAGCUUGCUUGUUGGGGUUGUAGGACACUCUAUACGGAGUUACAAAGGACGACAUUAGACGAAUCAUCUGGAAAGAUGAAUCAAAGAAGGUAAUAAUCCUGUAGUCGAAAAUGUUGUCUCUCUUGAGUGGAUCCUGAGUACGACGGAGCACGUGAAAUUCCGUCGGAAUCUGGGAGGACCAUCUCCUAAGGCUAAAUACUCUCUAGUGACCGAUAGUGAACCAGUACCGUGAGGGAAAGGUGAAAAGCACCCCGGAAGGAGAGUGAAAUAGAACCUGAAACCGUGUGCUUACAAGUAGUCAGAGCCCGUUAAUGGGUGAUGGCGUGCCUUUUGUAGAAUGAACCGGCGAGUUACGAUUUGAUGCAAGGUUAAGCAGUAAAUGUGGAGCCGUAGCGAAAGCGAGUCUGAAUAGGGCGUUUAGUAUUUGGUCGUAGACCCGAAACCAGGUGAUCUACCCUUGGUCAGGUUGAAGUUCAGGUAACACUGAAUGGAGGACCGAACCGACUUACGUUGAAAAGUGAGCGGAUGAACUGAGGGUAGCGGAGAAAUUCCAAUCGAACCUGGAGAUAGCUGGUUCUCUCCGAAAUAGCUUUAGGGAUAGCCUCAAGUGAUGAUUAUUGGAGGUAGAGCACUGUUUGGACGAGGGGCCCCUCUCGGGUUACCGAAUUCAGACAAACUCCGAAUGCCAAUUAAUUUAACUUGGGAGUCAGAACAUGGGUGAUAAGGUCCGUGUUCGAAAGGGAAACAGCCCAGACCACCAGCUAAGGUCCCAAAAUAUAUGUUAAGUGGAAAAGGAUGUGGCGUUGCCCAGACAACUAGGAUGUUGGCUUAGAAGCAGCCAUCAUUUAAAGAGUGCGUAAUAGCUCACUAGUCGAGUGACACUGCGCCGAAAAUGUACCGGGGCUAAACAUAUUACCGAAGCUGUGGAUUGUCCUUUGGACAAUGGUAGGAGAGCGUUCUAAGGGCGUUGAAGCAUGAUCGUAAGGACAUGUGGAGCGCUUAGAAGUGAGAAUGCCGGUGUGAGUAGCGAAAGACGGGUGAGAAUCCCGUCCACCGAUUGACUAAGGUUUCCAGAGGAAGGCUCGUCCGCUCUGGGUUAGUCGGGUCCUAAGCUGAGGCCGACAGGCGUAGGCGAUGGAUAACAGGUUGAUAUUCCUGUACCACCUAUAAUCGUUUUAAUCGAUGGGGGGACGCAGUAGGAUAGGCGAAGCGUGCGAUUGGAUUGCACGUCUAAGCAGUAAGGCUGAGUAUUAGGCAAAUCCGGUACUCGUUAAGGCUGAGCUGUGAUGGGGAGAAGACAUUGAGUCUUCGAGUCGUUGAUUUCACACUGCCGAGAAAAGCCUCUAGAUAGAAAAUAGGUGCCCGUACCGCAAACCGACACAGGUAGUCAAGAUGAGAAUUCUAAGGUGAGCGAGCGAACUCUCGUUAAGGAACUCGGCAAAAUGACCCCGUAACUUCGGGAGAAGGGGUGCUCUUUAGGGUUAACGCCCAGAAGAGCCGCAGUGAAUAGGCCCAAGCGACUGUUUAUCAAAAACACAGGUCUCUGCUAAACCGUAAGGUGAUGUAUAGGGGCUGACGCCUGCCCGGUGCUGGAAGGUUAAGAGGAGUGGUUAGCUUCUGCGAAGCUACGAAUCGAAGCCCCAGUAAACGGCGGCCGUAACUAUAACGGUCCUAAGGUAGCGAAAUUCCUUGUCGGGUAAGUUCCGACCCGCACGAAAGGCGUAACGAUUUGGGCACUGUCUCAACGAGAGACUCGGUGAAAUCAUAGUACCUGUGAAGAUGCAGGUUACCCGCGACAGGACGGAAAGACCCCGUGGAGCUUUACUGUAGCCUGAUAUUGAAAUUCGGCACAGCUUGUACAGGAUAGGUAGGAGCCUUUGAAACGUGAGCGCUAGCUUACGUGGAGGCGCUGGUGGGAUACUACCCUAGCUGUGUUGGCUUUCUAACCCGCACCACUUAUCGUGGUGGGAGACAGUGUCAGGCGGGCAGUUUGACUGGGGCGGUCGCCUCCUAAAAGGUAACGGAGGCGCUCAAAGGUUCCCUCAGAAUGGUUGGAAAUCAUUCAUAGAGUGUAAAGGCAUAAGGGAGCUUGACUGCGAGACCUACAAGUCGAGCAGGGUCGAAAGACGGACUUAGUGAUCCGGUGGUUCCGCAUGGAAGGGCCAUCGCUCAACGGAUAAAAGCUACCCCGGGGAUAACAGGCUUAUCUCCCCCAAGAGUUCACAUCGACGGGGAGGUUUGGCACCUCGAUGUCGGCUCAUCGCAUCCUGGGGCUGUAGUCGGUCCCAAGGGUUGGGCUGUUCGCCCAUUAAAGCGGUACGCGAGCUGGGUUCAGAACGUCGUGAGACAGUUCGGUCCCUAUCCGUCGUGGGCGUAGGAAAUUUGAGAGGAGCUGUCCUUAGUACGAGAGGACCGGGAUGGACAUACCUCUGGUGUACCAGUUGUCGUGCCAACGGCAUAGCUGGGUAGCUAUGUGUGGACGGGAUAAGUGCUGAAAGCAUCUAAGCAUGAAGCCCCCCUCAAGAUGAGAUUUCCCAACUUCGGUUAUAAGAUCCCUCAAAGAUGAUGAGGUUAAUAGGUUCGAGGUGGAAGCAUGGUGACAUGUGGAGCUGACGAAUACUAAUCGAUCGAAGACUUAAUCAA
RNAcentral lists this ribosomal RNA (2921 nucleotides) under Staphylococcus aureus DAR5840. RNAcentral's name for it is "bacterial LSU rRNA". It matches the Rfam family "Bacterial large subunit ribosomal RNA". The record is from RNAcentral. Lineage: Bacteria; Bacillati; Bacillota; Bacilli; Caryophanales; Staphylococcaceae.